UUAAGUGACUAAGCGUACACGGUGGAUGCCUAGGCAGUCAGAGGCGAUGAAGGGCGUGCUAAUCUGCGAAAAGCGUCGGUAAGGUGAUAUGAACCGUUAUAACCGGCGAUACCCGAAUGGGGAAACCCAGUGCAAUUCGUUGCACUAUCGUUAAGUGAAUACAUAGCUUAACGAGGCGAACCGGGGGAACUGAAACAUCUAAGUACCCCGAGGAAAAGAAAUCAACCGAGAUUCCCCCAGUAGCGGCGAGCGAACGGGGAACAGCCCAGAACCUGAAUCAGUUCUUGUGUUAGUGGAAGCGUCUGGAAAGUCGCGCAGUAAAGGGUGAUAGCCCCGUACACUAAAAUGCAUUNNNNNNNNUAGUUGCAAGGUAUAGACCCGAAACCCGGUGAUCUAGCCAUGGGCAGGUUGAAGGUUGGGUAACACUAACUGGAGGACCGAACCGACUAAUGUUGAAAAAUUAGCGGAUGACUUGUGGCUGGGGGUGAAAGGCCAAUCAAACCGGGAGAUAGCUGGUUCUCCCCGAAAGCUAUUUAGGUAGCGCCUCGUGAACUCAUCUUCGGGGGUAGAGCACUGUUUCGGCUAGGGGGCCAUCCCGGCUUACCAAACCGAUGCAAACUCCGAAUACCGAAGAAUGUUAUCACGGGAGACACACGGCGGGUGCUAACGUCCGUCGUGAAGAGGGAAACAACCCAGACCGCCAGCUAAGGUCCCAAAGUCAUGGUUAAGUGGGAAACGAUGUGGGAAGGCAUAGACAGCCAGGAUGUUGGCUUAGAAGCAGCCAUCAUUUAAAGAAAGCGUAAUAGCUCACUGGUCGAGUCGGCCUGCGCGGAAGAUGUAACGGGGCUAAACCAUGCACCGAAGCUGCGGCAGCGACGCUUAGGCGUUGUUGGGUAGGGGAGCGUUCUGUAAGCCGUUGAAGGUGGCCUGUGAGGGUUGCUGGAGGUAUCAGAAGUGCGAAUGCUGACAUAAGUAACGAUAAAGCGGGUGAAAAGCCCGCUCGCCGGAAGACCAAGGGUUCCUGUCCAACGUUAAUCGGGGCAGGGUGAGUCGACCCCUAAGGCGAGGCUGAAAAGCGUAGUCGAUGGGAAACAGGUUAAUAUUCCUGUACUCGGUGUUNCUGCGAAGGGGGGACGGAGAAGGCUAGGCUAGCCGGGCGACGGUUGUCCCGGUUUAAGCGUGUAGGGGGGUGUUCCUGGUAAAUCCGGAACGCUAUCAACCCUGAGGCGUGAUGACGAUGCACUACGGUGCAGAAGUAGUUGAUGCCAAGCUUCCAGGAAAAGCCUCUAAGCAUCAGGUAACACAGAAUCGUACCCCAAACCGACACAGGUGGUCAGGUAGAGAAUACCAAGGCGCUUGAGAGAACUCGGGUGAAGGAACUAGGCAAAAUGGUGCCGUAACUUCGGGAGAAGGCACGCUGGCGCGUAGGUGAAGUCCCUUGCGGAUGGAGCUGAAGCCAGUCGCAGAUACCAGCUGGCUGCAACUGUUUAAUAAAAACACAGCACUGUGCAAACACGAAAGUGGACGUAUACGGUGUGACGCCUGCCCGGUGCUGGAAGGUUAAUUGAUGGGGUCAGCCGCAAGGCGAAGCUCUUGAUCGAAGCCCCAGUAAACGGCGGCCGUAACUAUAACGGUCCUAAGGUAGCGAAAUUCCUUGUCGGGUAAGUUCCGACCUGCACGAAUGGCGUAAUGAUGGCCAGGCUGUCUCCACCCGAGACUCAGUGAAAUUGAACUCGCUGUGAAGAUGCAGUGUACCCGCGGCAAGACGGAAAGACCCCGUGAACCUUUACUAUAGCUUGACACUGAACAUUGAGCCUUGAUGUGUAGGAUAGGUGGGAGGCUUUGAAGCGUGGACGCCAGUCUGCGUGGAGCCAACCUUGAAAUACCACCCUUUAAUGUUUGAUGUUCUAACUCGGCCCCAUAAUCUGGGGUGAGGACAGUGUCUGGUGGGUAGUUUGACUGGGGCGGUCUCCUCCCAAAGAGUAACGGAGGAGCACGAAGGUUAGCUAAUCACGGUCGGACAUCGUGAGGUUAGUGCAAAGGCAUAAGCUAGCUUGACUGCGAGAGUGACGGCUCGAGCAGGUACGAAAGUAGGUCUUAGUGAUCCGGUGGUUCUGAAUGGAAGGGCCAUCGCUCAACGGAUAAAAGGUACUCCGGGGAUAACAGGCUGAUACCGCCCAAGAGUUCAUAUCGACGGCGGUGUUUGGCACCUCGAUGUCGGCUCAUCACAUCCUGGGGCUGAAGUAGGUCCCAAGGGUAUGGCUGUUCGCCAUUUAAAGUGGUACGCGAGCUGGGUUUAGAACGUCGUGAGACAGUUCGGUCCCUAUCUGCCGUGGGCGUUGGAAGAUUGAGAGGGGUUGCUCCUAGUACGAGAGGACCGGAGUGAACGCACCACUGGUGUUCGGGUUGUCAUGCCAAUGGCACUGCCCGGUAGCUAAGUGCGGAAAAGAUAAGCGCUGAAAGCAUCUAAGCGCGAAACUUGCCUCGAGAUGAGUCUUCCCUGGGCCUUUAAGGUCCCUGAAGGAACGUUUAAGACUAAGACGUUGAUAGGCUGGGUGUGUAAGUGCAGCGAUGUAUUGAGCUAACCAGUACUAAUGAUCCGUGAGGCUUAACCUU
This 2616-nucleotide ribosomal RNA is filed under the name Serratia ficaria. Its description in RNAcentral is "23S ribosomal RNA". It matches the Rfam family "Bacterial large subunit ribosomal RNA". Lineage: Bacteria; Pseudomonadati; Pseudomonadota; Gammaproteobacteria; Enterobacterales; Yersiniaceae. The record is from RNAcentral.